AGGGAGGACUGGGAGUCCGGCCAGUGGGAACCUCACAGGCGCGAUGUGGCUCGAAUUAGGCUCCUAAGCGGCCAUGAGCUCAGAAGCUCUCCCAGAGACGGCAAGGGCUGAGCACGAGACCAGAGGUGGACGCAGAUUGGAAAGUGCUUCUCCUUCAUCACGACCUACCAGGGAUGUCGCCUGGAGCGCAGUGUGUAAGGUCAUGAAGGUGUUGUGAUGGUGGAAUGCUGUGCAGUUUCAGCGUCAAAAGUAAACAGCCUCAACAGUCUGAAAUUGCAAGCGGGAACCAGCAAGUUGGCGUAAAACAUGGACCGAAGGCAAGGGGUCCCUUCUUGGAGAGGCAUCCUAACAAGCUGGAACCUCUGUGAUCUGAUGAACGAGAUCACAUCAAAACAGGAUGUCUGUCUCAUGCGAGGACACCAGGGACUGAUCCGUGGAUGACGGAUGGGAGCAAAGUAUUUGUCAUCGCUGAAACUGAUGUGUGACUAUAGUCGACCCUUGAACCAUGGGCCCGUCAGGGCGCUGACCCUUCUGCACAGUUGAAUAUCCACGCAUAACUUUUGACUCCCCGCAAAGUUAACUACGAAUAGCCCACUGUUGACUGGAAGCCUUACAGAUAACAUGAGUAGUCGAUUGGCCCAUGGUUUGUAUGUUAUAUGAAUUAUAUACUGUACUCUUUCAAUAGAGUAAGCUGGAAAAAUGUUACUAAGAAAUUCCUAAGGAAGAGAAGCUAUGUUUGCAGAAUUGUCAACGGGGACCCGCACAGAUCAAACCUGCAUUCUCGGAGGAUCAACUGUAUCCCCAUGAUGCACAAGGGACUUCUGGAAAUUCCCAAGAAAAACAGCAGUGGGGACGGGGGAAUAGACAAGGAUAUUAACAGGCAAAUCAUAGACACAGAGACAGGAAGCCUGACCGAUCCUUUAAGGAGAAUUUCCACCGAAGCAAAUUCCCAGAGGCUUGAAGAUGAAACUAGGGCACCUGUUUGACUGGUCGCGCUGGGAAACUGGGUGACUCACUGGUGAGGGCAGGUCCCCGUGUGCAAGGGACCCGCAGAUCUAUGGUUUGGGACCAUGAUGACUCAGCAGGCGAUGCUCCGUGUUGGUGGGGAUGUGGCUGGGGCAAACUUUCUCAAGUUAAAUAAACU
Molecule: long non-coding RNA, 1144 nt
Organism: Enhydra lutris kenyoni (northern sea otter)
Lineage: Eukaryota; Metazoa; Chordata; Mammalia; Carnivora; Mustelidae
Exons: 3
Source: RefSeq, a predicted model, not a curated record